This 478-nucleotide ribosomal RNA is filed under the name uncultured bacterium. Its description in RNAcentral is "partial 16S ribosomal RNA". It matches the Rfam family "Bacterial small subunit ribosomal RNA", at positions 28 to 523 of the family's 1533-position model. The record is from RNAcentral.
GACGAACGCUGGCGGCGUGCUUAACACAUGCAAGUCGAACGGUAAGGCCCUUCGGGGUACACGAGUGGCGAACGGGUGAGUAACACGUGGGUGAUCUGCCCUGCACUUCGGGAUAAGCCUGGGAAACUGGGUCUAAUACCGGAUAGGACCACUGCCUGCAUGGGUGGUGGUGGAAGGCUUUUGCGGUGUGGGAUGGGCCCGCGGCCUAUCAGCUUGUUGGUGGGGUGAUGGCCUACCAAGGCGACGACGGGUAGCCGGCCUGAGAGGGUGACCGGCCACACGGGGACUGAGAUACGGCCCAGGCUACUACGGGAGGCAGCAGUGCGGAAUAUUGCACAAUGGGCGCAAGCCUGAUGCAGCGACGCCGCGUGAGGGAUGACGGCCUUCGGGUUGUAAACCUCUUUCAGCACCGACGAAGCGCAAGUGACGGUAGGUGCAGAAGAAGGACCGGCCAACUACGUGCCAGCCGCCGCCGUAA